Molecule: transfer RNA, 67 nt
Filed under: Spongiocaris panglao
Lineage: Eukaryota; Metazoa; Arthropoda; Malacostraca; Decapoda; Spongicolidae
Description: tRNA-Tyr
Source: RNAcentral
AAUAAGAUGGCUGAGUAAAAUAUAAGCGGUAGGUUGUAAAUCUAUUUAGAGGAAAUCCUUCUUAUUA